This 526-nucleotide ribosomal RNA is filed under the name uncultured bacterium. Its description in RNAcentral is "bacterial SSU rRNA". It matches the Rfam family "Bacterial small subunit ribosomal RNA", at positions 778 to 1302 of the family's 1533-position model. The record is from RNAcentral.
AAUGAUACCCAGGUAGUCCACGCCGUAAACGAUGAGUGCUAAGUGUUAGAGGGUUUCCGCCCUUUAGUGCUGCAGCUAACGCAUUAAGCACUCCGCCUGGGGAGUACGGUCGCAAGACUGAAACUCAAAGGAAUUGACGGGGGCCCGCACAAGCGGUGGAGCAUGUGGUUUAAUUCGAAGCAACGCGAAGAACCUUACCAGGUCUUGACAUCCUCUGACAACUCUAGAGAUAGAGCGUUCCCCUUCGGGGGACAGAGUGACAGGUGGUGCAUGGUUGUCGUCAGCUCGUGUCGUGAGAUGUUGGGUUAAGUCCCGCAACGAGCGCAACCCUUGAUCUUAGUUGCCAGCAUUCAGUUGGGCACUCUAAGGUGACUGCCGGUGACAAACCGGAGGAAGGUGGGGAUGACGUCAAAUCAUCAUGCCCCUUAUGACCUGGGCUACACACGUGCUACAAUGGAUGGUACAAAGGGCUGCAAGACCGCGAGGUCAAGCCAAUCCCAUAAAACCAUUCUCAGUUCGGAUUGUA